This 831-nucleotide ribosomal RNA is filed under the name uncultured bacterium. RNAcentral describes it as "bacterial SSU rRNA". It matches the Rfam family "Bacterial small subunit ribosomal RNA", at positions 9 to 849 of the family's 1533-position model. The record is from RNAcentral.
GAGUUUGAUCCUGGCUCAGGACGAACGCUGGCGGCGUGCUUAACACAUGCAAGUCGAGCGGUAAGGCCCUUUCGGGGGUACACGAGCGGCGAACGGGUGAGUAACACGUGGGUAACCUGCCCUCAGCUCUGGGAUAAGCCCGGGAAACUGGGUCUAAUACCGGAUAUGACUCCGCAUCGCAUGGUGUGGGGUGGAAAGCCUUGUGCGGCUGAGGAUGGGCCCGCGGCCUAUCAGCUUGUUGGUGGGGUAGUGGCCUACCAAGGCGACGACGGGUAGCCGGCCUGAGAGGGCGACCGGCCACACUGGGACUGAGACACGGCCCAGACUCCUACGGGAGGCAGCAGUGGGGAAUAUUGCGCAAUGGGCGAAAGCCUGACGCAGCGACGCCGCGUGAGGGAUGACGGCCUUCGGGUUGUAAACCUCUUUCAGUUCCGACGAAGCCUUCGGGUGACGGUAGGGGCAGAAGAAGCACCGGCCAACUACGUGCCAGCAGCCGCGGUAAUACGUAGGGUGCAAGCGUUGUCCGGAAUUAUUGGGCGUAAAGAGCUCGUAGGCGGUUUGUCGCGUCGACUGUGAAAACUCAGGGGCUCAACUCCGAGCUUGCAGUUGAUACGGGCAGACUAGAGUUCGGCAGGGGAGACUGGAAUUCCUGGUGUAGCGGUGAAAUGCGCAGAUAUCAGGAGGAACACCGGUGGCGAAGGCGGGUCUCUGGGCCGAUACUGACGCUGAAGGGCGAAAGCGUGGGGAGCGAACAGGAUUAGAUACCCUGGUAGUCCACGCCGUAAACGUUGGGCGCUAGGUGUGGGGUCCCUUCCACGGGUUCCGUGCCGC